UUGAAUUCAAGUGAGUGCACUAUCAGAGUGCGAUCCGGUAAGCUGUUGGGGUUUAUUGUCAGAGAGGAAUCCGAGGUUGAUCCUGAAAAAAAAAAAGAAAAAAAAAGGAAAAGAGAGAAAAAUGCCUGAACCGAGAAUAAAGAAAGAGGUUCGUGGUCUCUUAGGCAGAUGGAACUACAUGUCAUGGUUCACAUCUUAUC
RNAcentral lists this long non-coding RNA (200 nucleotides) under Lathyrus oleraceus (garden pea). Its description in RNAcentral is "Pisum sativum (pea) long non-coding RNA (PSAT_LNC010773)". Lineage: Eukaryota; Viridiplantae; Streptophyta; Magnoliopsida; Fabales; Fabaceae. The record is from RNAcentral.